RNAcentral lists this ribosomal RNA (492 nucleotides) under uncultured bacterium. RNAcentral's name for it is "partial 16S ribosomal RNA". It matches the Rfam family "Bacterial small subunit ribosomal RNA", at positions 29 to 507 of the family's 1533-position model. The record is from RNAcentral.
AGUGAACGCUGGCGGUAGGCCUAACACAUGCAAGUCGAACGGCAGCACAGUAAGAGCUUGCUCUUACGGGUGGCGAGUGGCGGACGGGUGAGGAAUACAUCGGAAUCUACUUUUUCGUGGGGGAUAACGUAGGGAAACUUACGCUAAUACCGCAUACGACCUACGGGUGAAAGCAGGGGAUCUUCGGACCUUGCGCGAUUGAAUUAGCCGAUGUCGGAUUAGCUAGUUGGCGGGGUAAAGGCCCACCAAGGCGACGAUCCGUAGCUGGUCUGAGAGGAUGAUCAGCCACACUGGAGCUGAGACACGGUCAAGACUCCUACGGGAGGCAGCAGUGGGGAAUAUUGGACAAUGGGCGCAAGCCUGAUCCAGCCAUACCGCGUGGGUGAAGAAGGCCUUCGGGUUGUAAAGCCCUUUUGUUGGGAAAGAAAAGCAGCAGGUUAAUACCCCGCUGUUCUGACGGUACCCAAAGAAUAAGCACCGGCUAACUUCGUG